GGUGGCUCAGUGGUAGAGUGUUUGCCUUGCAUGCACAAGGCUCUGGGUUCGAUUCCUCAGCACCA
Molecule: transfer RNA, 65 nt
Filed under: Dipodomys ordii (Ord's kangaroo rat)
Lineage: Eukaryota; Metazoa; Chordata; Mammalia; Rodentia; Heteromyidae
Rfam family: tRNA
About the family: Transfer RNA (tRNA) molecules are approximately 80 nucleotides in length. Their secondary structure includes four short double-helical elements and three loops (D, anti-codon, and T loops).
Source: Rfam by way of RNAcentral